CGGCCCCAGCAGCCCGUCGCGGAGUCAGGGAGUGUACAACUCCUUGUCGAUGAGGAAAGUCCGGGCAACAUAGAGCGCCAUACUUCUUAACGGGAAGCUAUCGGUAACGGUAGAGUAGCGUGACAGAAAAUUACCGCCACCCCCAGUGGGUGGUAAGGGUGAAAAGGUGGGGUAAGAGCCCACCGGGCCGGAUGGCAACAUUCGGUGCCGCACGCCUUAUGGGUUGCAAGGUCAAGUAUACCGGCAUUUAAGGGUUGCUCGCCCAUUGCCGGGGGGUAGACUGCUCGAGCCCGGUGGCGACAUCGGGCGUAGAUAAAUGACGGGCCGGCGGCUGCGCGGUCGAUACGACAUCCGGCCGCCCGACAUAACCCGGCUUAUCGUCGAGGCCAUGAA
RNAcentral lists this RNase P RNA (393 nucleotides) under Muribaculaceae bacterium. RNAcentral describes it as "RNase P RNA component class A". It matches the Rfam family "Bacterial RNase P class A". Rfam says of the family: Ribonuclease P (RNase P) is a ubiquitous endoribonuclease, found in archaea, bacteria and eukarya as well as chloroplasts and mitochondria. Its best characterised activity is the generation of mature 5'-ends of tRNAs by cleaving the 5'-leader elements of precursor-tRNAs. The record is from RNAcentral. Lineage: Bacteria; Pseudomonadati; Bacteroidota; Bacteroidia; Bacteroidales; Muribaculaceae.